GACAGAGGGUGCAAACGUUGUUCGGAAUUACUGGGCGUAAAGCGCGUGUAGGCGGCAUCGUAAGUCGGGCGUGAAAUCCCACGGCUCAACCGUGGAAGUGCACUCGAAACUGCGAAGCUUGAGUCCUGGAGAGGAAGGUGGAAUGCUUGGUGUAGAGGUGAAAUUCGUAGAUAUCAAGCGGAACACCAAUGGCGAAGGCGACCUUCUGAACAAUGACUGACGCUGAAACGCGAAAGCGUGGGGAGCAAACAGG
This 253-nucleotide ribosomal RNA is filed under the name uncultured bacterium. RNAcentral describes it as "partial 16S ribosomal RNA". It matches the Rfam family "Bacterial small subunit ribosomal RNA", at positions 524 to 776 of the family's 1533-position model. The record is from RNAcentral.